Molecule: long non-coding RNA, 307 nt
Filed under: Nicotiana benthamiana
Lineage: Eukaryota; Viridiplantae; Streptophyta; Magnoliopsida; Solanales; Solanaceae
Description: long non-coding RNA (NBEN_LNC031125)
Source: RNAcentral
GGUGCUUGAGUUGGAUUGGAUGAGGAUUGAGGAUUAGCAAUGAUUCUCCAGCCAUUUUUUUUACCUGGCAAGUCUAACUAGAUCUUUAUCUCUUGCUUGCUUUCAUUCUUUUCAGCAACUCGCCAGACUCGAACUGGCAGGGCUCUGAUCAAGCCUAUUUUUCCGACAAUAGAGUUGCUUUUGGUACGCAGUUCAAUAGGCUUAAAUUUCAGCCUUCCUACAUCUGCGGGCAGACCGCUUAAAGGAAUCCUCUAUCCAGACUCCCCCUAGAACCUCUGUCUGGUCUAGGGACUACUUUAAGCUUGAU